This 203-nucleotide unclassified non-coding RNA is filed under the name uncultured Serendipita. RNAcentral describes it as "sequence contains ITS2". The record is from RNAcentral. Lineage: Eukaryota; Fungi; Basidiomycota; Agaricomycetes; Sebacinales.
UAAUCUCACUCCUUCAACUUUGUUGUUGGUGGAUGUGGACUUGGACUCUGUCGUGUUAUGACGACUGGUCUGAAAUGCCUGAGUGCACCCUGCUGUUGCAGCGUCUUCAGUGUGAUAAGCAUCUUCACUGAUUCAAGUUCCCUUUGGGACACGUAGCAUUGUGGGCUCUGUGCUGACGAACCGUCUUUGGACAAUGUUUGACA